UAAAUAAAUGAAUAAAUAUGAAUGGGUGUUAUUUGUUUUUUAGGGUAUUUGCAUCUGUACUUUGGACCAUCCUUCUGGACAUUAGGAAAGGGAACGAUGUGCACAUGUGCAGCACGAUCACGUUACACCGACUAACCAAGAAACAGGGAUCAAACUGUCACACGAUGACUGCUGCAUCAUCUGUCUCUAUUCCUGUGUACGACAUGCCUUCCAGUCCUCUUCUCCAUGUCAGGAAGGUGCCCGAUCUGAGAAGCUCUCACUGUGUUCAAGGCGGUGUGUUUAGCUCUAGAUGCAGACUGGGCCAGAUGGGUGCUGGACCAGUUCCUCGCUCAGGUAAAACAUUUGUGUUUUAAGCUAUGAAGAUGAUAUUUAAAGCCUCAAUGUGUCAGAUUUACUUCCACCAAUGGUAUACCACAAUACAUGUUCUAGUGUUUCUCCUGCUCCUCUCACAGAAUACAGAACUCUUAAGUUUUAUUGUGGAGCAAACUAAUCAUGAAAGAUGGCAUAUCUGUGGAUGAUAAACCUGAGUUUAUUAAUAGACAACAUGAAAUGUUACACACAGGGGCUUUAAUUCACAACACUUGGUUGAUCUGUUUAGCUUCUGUAGGUGUUAAUGCACAAUGCUUUUAAUAAAAUGUUAAUUUUUCAGCUGCACAUACUGGCGUUACUGGAAGAGACGAGGGAGCAACAGAUGCUGCUGCUGUCACUAACCUAGCCCCACAGAUUGUUGUCUGAUGCUCCUGUGGCUGAAAUGCUGCACACCAUCAACACCCCACUGAUGACCAUGUCUGACGGUGAGGAACUGGAGGAGUGGCUUAAAGAUCCCAGCACUGGUGUUGGAGGGCAGAUCGACUGGAAGGAUGUGAAUGGGAAGAAGAGUUCCAAGGAUUUGCAGAGCAUCUGUUUGUUGAUCACAGCAGUCUGGAACAACCAUGCAGCUGAUUCCUGUGCUGGUUCGGUCUUGCUUCUGACCGUGGAGGUGGCUGGAAAGAGAGCAGCCAGAGAGGCCAUUUCUGAGACGGUGAAGUGGGCGUCAGAGGCUGCAGCUGUGCUAUAUCAUGGAUGGAAGGAAGACAUUUAUCUCUCUUAGAAAUGUUCCGAGCACCAAGGCCUCCGCUAAUGCACUGAUUGUGUGUUGAUUGAUUAAUCACCUUUUCUGAGACUUGCAAAGAAAAACGUUCACGUGUAAAACUGGCAAAGGAGUCAAGUAACCAGAUACAAUACUUACUAUACUUAAGUACAUUUUUGAGUAUAUAUCACUGAAGUAAUUACUCGACUUUUACUACUACUUUAAUUUUCACACAAUUAUUUGUACAUUUUACUCCUUACAUUUUAAAAACAGCUUCAUUCCUUGUCGGCUACUUGUCAUUGCUGUCUAUUAUUAUUAAACAAAAUGCAAACCCAGGUUAAUUGCACCAUCCAGAUGGAGUGAAUUUGUUCCAUUUGAAUGAUAAAUCUACCAUUCUCCCAACCUACUGGUUUGUACCAUUCCCAUAGGAUUCUUUGAUUUAAAUGGUAAAUGGCCUGUAUUUGAUAUAGCGCCUUCUAGAGUUCUUGAAACCCCUCAAGGCGCUUUACAACACAAUCAGUCAUUCACCCAUUCACACACACACAUUCACACACUGGUGAGGAUGAGCUACAAUGUAGCCACAGUUGCCCUGGGGCGCACUGACAGAGGCGAGGCUGCCGAGCACUGGCGCCACCGGUCCCUCCGACCACCACCAGCAGGCAACGUGGGUUGAGUGUCUUGCCCAAGGACUCAACAACAGCGACAGACUGAGCGGGGCUCGAACCUGCAACCUUCCGAUUACAGGGCGAGCGCUUAACUCCUGUGCCAUUGUCUCCCCCAAAUUUGCACUGUACUAAAAUGCAUUAAUUUGUGAUGGGUGCACAUGUGACUAACAGGUAGCAUAAGAAAAUACUGAUACUGAAAUAUCACAAUAUUGUGUGUUAUGAAACUAAACCAAUAUUUAAAGUAACACCAAAGAGGUUUCAACAAAUUAUUCCUUUUAAAGUGAUUUUCAGUGAUUCUUGAGGUAGAAACUUUACCAACUUUACUCUGCAGCCCUCUGCUGACCACUGCACUUAUUUACCAUUCUUACCAGGGACAAGUAGGUUCACUAGGUGGAGCUCUCUAGCUGCUUUACAACUGUUAGCUAUUUACUCUGCUGAUAGCUAAUAUAAAGGCCAGCAGUUAGCUUUAUAGUUCACCGACCAUCGGAAAUAGCACAAGGAAAAGGUUGAAUUUUCGAAUUUUCAGUCUCACCAAACUGUCGUCGUCAUGAGUUUAGCGGGCUUCAAAUCCUUCUUUCAGGUAAAAGAAGGAACAAUAAAUGUGGAGAAAAUCACUUUAAAUCUGGCCAUGUGGUAAGCAGCAGAUACGCUGAGGGAGAAGAGAUUCUAUUGUACUAUGACAUCAAAUGCAACUUCUGAUCUGUAGUCUGUUCAAUUGCAAAUUUUAAAGUAUGUGACAGAUAUAGAUGAAAGACACAAUUACUUUUCAUUUAAACUGAAGAACAACGUAUGUGUGGUUCAGGGCAUAAGGCAGAGUUAUUCAGGGCCUGGAGGGCCACUAUCCAGCACAUUUUAGUGGUUCCUCUGCUCCAACACACUUGAUUCAGUGGUUGAAUCACCUGUGUAGCAGCUCCUCAGGUUCUGCAGAAGCCUGUUAAUCACCUGCUGAUUGAAACAGAGUUAAGACUAAAACCCACUGGCCCUCCAGGCCCAGAAUUGAUUAACCCUGGCAUAAGGCAAAGCAGAGUAGAAAAUAGAGUUUGUAGCAUCAUUCACUUUCAUUCAUUUUCUCUGUAUUCUGGGGACCCAUGAGCCGACCGGUGGGGGAGGACACUCAGGCUUCCUAUACUGGAUGUGUCUUUAAAGUGUCCUGAUUUUUCCAAGUGACAAAUAUCAACUGG
Long non-coding RNA from Nothobranchius furzeri (turquoise killifish), 2915 nucleotides. The record is from Ensembl. NCBI's taxonomy places the organism in Eukaryota, Metazoa, Chordata, Actinopteri, Cyprinodontiformes, Nothobranchiidae.